RNAcentral lists this ribosomal RNA (279 nucleotides) under uncultured Staphylococcus sp. RNAcentral's name for it is "partial 16S ribosomal RNA". It matches the Rfam family "Bacterial small subunit ribosomal RNA", at positions 83 to 355 of the family's 1533-position model. Lineage: Bacteria; Bacillati; Bacillota; Bacilli; Caryophanales; Staphylococcaceae. The record is from RNAcentral.
CCUUUGACGUUAGCGGCGGACGGGUGAGUAACACGUGGGUAACCUACCUAUAAGACUGGGAUAACUUCGGGAAACCGGAGCUAAUACCGGAUAAUAUUUCGAACCGCAUGGUUCGAUAGUGAAAGGUGGUUUUGCUAUCACUUAUANAUGGACCCGCGCCGUAUUAGCUAGUUGGUAAGGUAACGGCUUACCAAGGCGACGAUACGUAGCCGACCUGAGAGGGUGAUCGGCCACACUGGAACUGAGACACGGUCCAGACUCCUACGGGAGGCAGCAGCC